This 84-nucleotide transfer RNA is filed under the name Fructilactobacillus fructivorans. RNAcentral describes it as "Lactobacillus fructivorans tRNA-Leu". It matches the Rfam family "tRNA". From Rfam's summary of the family: Transfer RNA (tRNA) molecules are approximately 80 nucleotides in length. Lineage: Bacteria; Bacillati; Bacillota; Bacilli; Lactobacillales; Lactobacillaceae. The record is from RNAcentral.
GCCCGAGUGGCGGAAUUGGCAGACGCGCAGCGUUCAGGUCGCUGUUCAGUUUACUGGGUAUGAGUUCGAAUCUCAUCUCGGGCA